CUGGUGCCAGCAGCCGCGGUAAUUCCAGCUCCAAUAGCGUAUAUUAAAGUUGUUGCAGUUAAAAGCUCGUAGUUGAAUUCGGGGUUAGUAGAUUGGUCAUGCCUCUGGUAUGCACUGGUCUUACUGAUUCCUCCUUCCUGAUGAACCGUAAUGCCAUUAAUUUGGUGUUGCGGGGAAACUGGACUGUUACUUUGAAAAAUUAGAGUGUUUAAAGCAGGCUAACGCUUGAAUACAUUAGCAUGGAAUAAUGAAAUAGGACGUUCGAUCUUAUUUUGUUGGUUUCUAGGAUUGACGUAAUGAUUAAUAGGGAUAGUUGGGGGCAUUAGUAUUCAAUUGUCAGAGGUGAAAUUCUUGGAUUUAUUGAAGACUAACUACUGCGAAAGCAUUUGCCAAGGAUGUUUUCAUUAAUCAAGAACGAAAGUUAGGGGAUCGAAGACGAUCAGAUACCGUCGUAGUCUUAACCAUAAACUAUGCCGACUAGGGAUCGGAUGAUGUUAAUUUUUUAAUGACUCAUUCGGCGCCUUACG
This 527-nucleotide ribosomal RNA is filed under the name uncultured Glomus. RNAcentral's name for it is "SSU rRNA". It matches the Rfam family "Eukaryotic small subunit ribosomal RNA", at positions 561 to 1092 of the family's 1831-position model. The record is from RNAcentral. Lineage: Eukaryota; Fungi; Glomeromycota; Glomeromycetes; Glomerales; Glomeraceae.